CGAACGCUGGCGGCGUGCUUUACACAUGCAAGUCGAGCGAUGAGAUCCCUUCGGGGAAGGAUUAGCGGCGAACGGGUGAGGAACACGUGAGGAAUCUGCCUUCAACACUGGGAUAACUCCGGGAAACCGGGGCUAAUACCGAAUACUCCGUCUCGGCGGCAUCGCUGGGCCGGGAAAAAAAUUUUGAUGAAAGAUGGUCUCGCGGCCUAUCAGCUAGUUGGUGAGGUAAUGGCUCACCAAGGCGACGACGGGUAGCCGGCCUGAGAGGGCGACCGGCCACACUGGGACUGAGACACGGCCCAGACUCCUACGGGAGGCAGCAGUGGGGAAUAUUGGGCAAUGGGCGCAAGCCUGACCCAGCGACGCCGCGUGAGGGAUGAAGGCCUUCGGGUUGUAACCUCUUUCAGUAGGAAGAAGCGAAAGUGACGGUACCUAAACGAAGAAGCACCGGCUAACUAUGUGCCAGGAG
Molecule: ribosomal RNA, 469 nt
Filed under: uncultured bacterium
Lineage: Bacteria
Description: bacterial SSU rRNA
Rfam family: Bacterial small subunit ribosomal RNA
Source: RNAcentral